This 1223-nucleotide ribosomal RNA is filed under the name Lactiplantibacillus plantarum. Its description in RNAcentral is "bacterial SSU rRNA". It matches the Rfam family "Bacterial small subunit ribosomal RNA", at positions 72 to 1284 of the family's 1533-position model. The record is from RNAcentral. Lineage: Bacteria; Bacillati; Bacillota; Bacilli; Lactobacillales; Lactobacillaceae.
CUGGGUAUUGAUUGGGUGCUUGCAUCAUGAUUUACAUUUGGAGUGAGUGGCGAACUGGUGAGUAACACGUGGGAAACCUGCCCAGAAGCGGGGGAUAACACCUGGAAACAGAUGCUAAUACCGCAUAACAACUUGGACCGCAUGGUCCGAGUUUGAAAGAUGGCUUCGGCUAUCACUUUUGGAUGGUCCCGCGGCGUAUUAGCUAGAUGGUGGGGUAACGGCUCACCAUGGCAAUGAUACGUAGCCGACCUGAGAGGGUAAUCGGCCACAUUGGGACUGAGACACGGCCCAAACUCCUACGGGAGGCAGCAGUAGGGAAUCUUCCACAAUGGACGAAAGUCUGAUGGAGCAACGCCGCGUGAGUGAAGAAGGGUUUCGGCUCGUAAAACUCUGUUGUUAAAGAAGAACAUAUCUGAGAGUAACUGUUCAGGUAUUGACGGUAUUUAACCAGAAAGCCACGGCUAACUACGUGCCAGCAGCCGCGGUAAUACGUAGGUGGCAAGCGUUGUCCGGAUUUAUUGGGCGUAAAGCGAGCGCAGGCGGUUUUUUAAGUCUGAUGUGAAAGCCUUCGGCUCAACCGAAGAAGUGCAUCGGAAACUGGGAAACUUGAGUGCAGAAGAGGACAGUGGAACUCCAUGUGUAGCGGUGAAAUGCGUAGAUAUAUGGAAGAACACCAGUGGCGAAGGCGGCUGUCUGGUCUGUAACUGACGCUGAGGCUCGAAAGUAUGGGUAGCAAACAGGAUUAGAUACCCUGGUAGUCCAUACCGUAAACGAUGAAUGCUAAGUGUUGGAGGGUUUCCGCCCUUCAGUGCUGCAGCUAACGCAUUAAGCAUUCCGCCUGGGGAGUACGGCCGCAAGGCUGAAACUCAAAGGAAUUGACGGGGGCCCGCACAAGCGGUGGAGCAUGUGGUUUAAUUCGAAGCUACGCGAAGAACCUUACCAGGUCUUGACAUACUAUGCAAAUCUAAGAGAUUAGACGUUCCCUUCGGGGACAUGGAUACAGGUGGUGCAUGGUUGUCGUCAGCUCGUGUCGUGAAAUGUUGGGUUAAUUCCCGCACCAACCGCACCCUUAUUAUCAGUUGCCAGCAUUAAUUUGGGCACUCUGGUGAGACUGCCGGUGACAACCCGAAGAAGGUGGGGAUAACUUCAAUCACCUGCCCCUUUUGACCGGGCUACCACCUGCUAAAUGGAUGGUCACCAAUUGCGAACCCCCAAAAUAACUA